AUGCUAUGACAACACAAUUUCCCUUGGAUAGGACCAACCAUUAAACUCCAUCCUCCAAUCCUCGGAAGCAUCACCAAAGUUGCCUACCCUCUUGAACCAAAAGGCUAGCAAUUGAAGACUUGAAAUGGUGCUGUCUAUCGGGACUUUAAACCCAUAUAAAUUUUUAUUUUGGAAUAAAAUCUCUAAUCCCACAAGGAUAGCUGUAGCAUUAUGUACCGGCA
This 221-nucleotide long non-coding RNA is filed under the name Elaeis guineensis (African oil palm). RNAcentral describes it as "long non-coding RNA (EGUI_LNC005172)". The record is from RNAcentral. Lineage: Eukaryota; Viridiplantae; Streptophyta; Magnoliopsida; Arecales; Arecaceae.